AGGACCUGCGCUCCUGCACCGCGGCGGACACGGCGGCUCAGAUCACCCGGCGCAAGUGGGAGGCGGCCGGGGAGGGAGGGGAGAGACAA
Molecule: non-coding RNA, 89 nt
Organism: Ceratotherium simum simum (southern white rhinoceros)
Lineage: Eukaryota; Metazoa; Chordata; Mammalia; Perissodactyla; Rhinocerotidae
Source: RefSeq, a predicted model, not a curated record